RNAcentral lists this ribosomal RNA (433 nucleotides) under uncultured bacterium. Its description in RNAcentral is "partial 16S ribosomal RNA". It matches the Rfam family "Bacterial small subunit ribosomal RNA", at positions 29 to 507 of the family's 1533-position model. The record is from RNAcentral.
AACGAACGCUGGCGGCAUGCCUAACACAUGCAAGUCGAACGAGACCUUCGGGUCUAGUGGCGCACGGGUGCGUAACGCGUGGGAACCUGCCCUUAGGUUCGGAAUAACUUCCCGAAAGGGGUGCUAAUACCGGAUAAUGUCUUCGGACCAAAGAUUUAUCGCCUUUGGAUGGGCCUGCGUUGGAUUAGCUUGUUGGUAGGGUAAAAGCCUACAAAGGCGAGGAUCCAUAGCUGGGCUGAGAGGAUGGUCAGCCACACUGGGACUGAGACACGGCCCAGACUCCUACGGGAGGCAGCAGUGGGGAAUAUUGGACAGUGGGCGAAAGCCUGAUCCAGCAAUGCCGCGUGAGUGAUGAAGGCCUGAGGGUUGCAAAGCUCUUUUACCCGGGAUGAUAAUGACAGUACCGGGAGAAUAAGCUCCGGCUAACUCCGUG